GAUGAAGAACGCAGCGAAAUGCGAUAAGUAAUGUGAAUUGCAGAAUUCAGUGAAUCAUCGAAUCUUUGAACGCACAUUGCGCCCGCCAGUAUUCUGGCGGGCAUGCCUGUCUGAGCGUCAUUUCAACCCUCAUGCCCCUAGGGCGUGGUGUUGGGGAUCGGCCAAAGCCCGCGAGGGACGGCCGGCCCCUAAAUCUAGUGGCGGACCCGUCGUGGCCUCCUCUGCGAAGUAGUGAUAUUCCGCAUCGGAGAGCGACGAGCCCCUGCCGUUAAACCACCAACUUUCCAAGGUUGACCUCAGAUCAGGUAGGAAUACCCGCUGAACUUAAGCAUAUCAAUAAGCGGAGGA
RNAcentral lists this unclassified non-coding RNA (348 nucleotides) under soil metagenome. Its description in RNAcentral is "partial contains 5.8S ribosomal RNA, internal transcribed spacer 2, and large subunit ribosomal RNA". The stretch from base 1 to 120 matches the Rfam family "5.8S ribosomal RNA", at positions 35 to 154 of the family's 154-position model. The record is from RNAcentral.